GAUGAACGCUGGCGGCGUGCCUAAUACAUGCAAGUCGAGCGAACAGACGAGGAGCUUGCUCCUCUGACGUUAGCGGCGGACGGGUGAGUAACACGUGGAUAACCUACCUAUAAGACUGGGAUAACUUCGGGAAACCGGAGCUAAUACCGGAGAAUAUAUUGAACCGCAUGGUUCAAUAGUGAAAGACGGUUUUGCUGUCACUUAUAGAUGGAUCCGCGCCGCAUUAGCUAGUUGGUAAGGUAACGGCUUACCAAGGCAACGAUGCGUAGCCGACCUGAGAGGGUGAUCGGCCACACUGGAACUGAGACACGGUCCAGACUCCUACGGGAGGCAGCAGUAGGGAAUAUUCCGCAAUGGGCGAAAGCCUGACGGAGCAACGCCGCGUGAGUGAUGAAGGUCUUCGGAUCGUAAAACUCUGUUAUUAGGGAAGAAAAAAUGUGUAAGUAACUAUGCACGUCUUGACGGUACCUAAUCAGAAAGCAACGGCUAACUACGUG
This 497-nucleotide ribosomal RNA is filed under the name uncultured bacterium. RNAcentral's name for it is "partial 16S ribosomal RNA". It matches the Rfam family "Bacterial small subunit ribosomal RNA", at positions 28 to 507 of the family's 1533-position model. The record is from RNAcentral.